This 227-nucleotide long non-coding RNA is filed under the name Dromaius novaehollandiae (emu). Its description in RNAcentral is "lncRNA (ENSDNVG00000012173.1)". Lineage: Eukaryota; Metazoa; Chordata; Aves; Casuariiformes; Dromaiidae. The record is from RNAcentral.
CUUAAAUGGAUUUUAUCAGACUGUGCACUGGCUGGCAAUACUGGGUGAAGAACCCCUGCUGGAAAGAAGAGGAAGCCAAACCCCGAAGUCUAGUUACAGAGGGAGAGAAAGGAACAAAAAGAAACACCGUGAUCCUUGGCUUUGGUGUAAAUCUGCAUGGCUCCACUGGACUGUUUGAUCAACUCCAGGUGAGGAGUGGGCCCACGGUAUUUUAAAAUCACCCCUUU